RNAcentral lists this ribosomal RNA (497 nucleotides) under uncultured bacterium. RNAcentral describes it as "partial 16S ribosomal RNA". It matches the Rfam family "Bacterial small subunit ribosomal RNA", at positions 28 to 507 of the family's 1533-position model. The record is from RNAcentral.
GAUGAACGCUGGCGGCGUGCCUAAUACAUGCAAGUCGAGCGAACAGACGAGGAGCUUGCUCCUCUGACGUUAGCGGCGGACGGGUGAGUAACACGUGGAUAACCUACCUAUAAGACUGGGAUAACUUCGGGAAACCGGAGCUAAUACUGGAUAAUAUAUUGAACCGCAUGGUUCAAUAGUGAAAGACGGUUUUGCUGUCACUUAUAGAUGGAUCCGCGCCGCAUUAGCUAGUUGGUAAGGUAACGGCUUACCAAGGCAACGAUGCGUAGCCGACCUGAGAGGGUGAUCGGCCACACUGGAACUGAGACACGGUCCAGACUCCUACGGGAGGCAGCAGUAGGGAAUCUUCCGCAAUGGGCGAAAGCCUGACGGAGCAACGCCGCGUGAGUGAUGAAGGUCUUCGGAUCGUAAAACUCUGUUAUUAGGGGAGAACAAAUGUGUAAGUAACUAUGCACGUCUUGACGGUACCUAAUCAGAAAGCCACGGCUAACUACGUG